CCUACGGGAGGCAGCAGUGGGGAAUAUUGCACAAUGGGGGGAACCCUGAUGCAGCGACGCCGCGUGAGUGAAGAAGUAUUUCGGUAUGUAAAGCUCUAUCAGCAGGGAAGAAAAUGACGGUACCUGACUAAGAAGCCCCGGCUAACUACGUGCCAGCAGCCGCGGUAAUACGUAGGGGGCAAGCGUUAUCCGGAUUUACUGGGUGUAAAGGGAGCGCAGACGGCUGUGCAAGUCUGGAGUGAAAGGCGGGGGCCCAACCCGCGGAUUGCUCCGGAUACUGUAAAGCUGGAGUGCAGGAGAGGUAAGCGGAAUUCCUGGUGUAGCGGUGAAAUGCGUAGAUAUUAGGAGGAACACCAGUGGCGAAGGCGGCCUGCUGGACGACAACUGACGGUGAGGCGCGAAAGCGUGGGGAGCAAACAGGAUUAGAUACCCGAGUAGUC
RNAcentral lists this ribosomal RNA (440 nucleotides) under uncultured bacterium. RNAcentral describes it as "partial 16S ribosomal RNA". It matches the Rfam family "Bacterial small subunit ribosomal RNA", at positions 338 to 795 of the family's 1533-position model. The record is from RNAcentral.